UACGUAGGGUGCAAGCGUUGCCCGGAUUUAUUGGGCGUAAAGAGCGUGUAGGCGGCUUGGUAGGUCCGCUGUGAAAACUCGAGGCUCAACCUCGAGAUGUCGGCGGAAACCACUUGGCUAGAGUCCGGAAGAGGAGAGUGGAAUUCCUGGUGUAGCGGUGAAAUGCGCAGAUAUCAGGAGGAACACCAAUAGCGAAGGCAGCUCGCUGGGACGGUACUGACGCUGAGGCGCGAAAGCGUGGGGAGCGAACAGG
RNAcentral lists this ribosomal RNA (253 nucleotides) under uncultured bacterium. RNAcentral describes it as "partial 16S ribosomal RNA". It matches the Rfam family "Bacterial small subunit ribosomal RNA", at positions 524 to 776 of the family's 1533-position model. The record is from RNAcentral.